UGGAUGGGCAUCGGAUGGAAAGGUAGAGCUGAACUAUUUGCAGCAGACUUCACAAUCUGUGGUGGGAACCAUGGCUGAGACGAGCACGUCUGAGAGUGUCUCUACUUGGAAUCAGUUAUCACAGGAGGGGACAAAUAAUGGUUACCCAGAACAUAUGGUUUUUGACCCACAAUAUCCUGGUUGGUAUUACGACACAAUAAUGCAAGAGUGGCGCUCCCUGGAAAGCUACACAUCAUCUGUUCAAUCAACAACUUUUCAAAAUCAUGAUCAGCUGAAACACAAUGAAUUUGCUUCUGCUGAUUCAUAUUCUCAAAAUAACAACAGUAUUUAUAGUGGAUAUGAGCAAGUUGACAAUUAUGGGUCACACGGCUAUAAUAGCCAAGACAAGCAUGGUGGCUGGGGCAAGUCUUAUGGUGACUACAAUCAUCAAGGUUUGAAUAUGUGGCAACCUGACACUGUUGCUAAGACUGAUACUGUUUCAAAUUAUGAUAGAAACCAGCAGUUGCAUAAUUCUUAUGAUUCGAAUGUGUCCAUGUACAAUCAUGUGGAGCAGCAGAAAUCUUUUAAUUCUUUGGGAACUGUUCCCUCAUAUGACAAACUGAGUCAGGGUAAUGUGAAUGCUAAUGGGUUUGUUGGGUCACAAAGUUUUAUACCUAGUGGGAACUUCAGUCAGCAGUUUAAUCAGGGAAAUUUAAAGCAGAAUGAACAUAUGAACGUUUCAAAUGAUUACUAUAGCAGUCAGAAACCAGU
Molecule: unclassified non-coding RNA, 750 nt
Filed under: Hevea brasiliensis (rubber tree)
Lineage: Eukaryota; Viridiplantae; Streptophyta; Magnoliopsida; Malpighiales; Euphorbiaceae
Source: RNAcentral